Molecule: ribosomal RNA, 537 nt
Filed under: Triticum aestivum (bread wheat)
Lineage: Eukaryota; Viridiplantae; Streptophyta; Magnoliopsida; Poales; Poaceae
Description: partial small subunit ribosomal RNA
Source: RNAcentral
AUGGCGACCAUGACCAGCGAACAAAUGGGGCCACCAGGUUCAGCAUCGCCGACUAACCAUCAGCCCUUGGCGCUUGCUCAGGAUGAUUCAACGAUCAUCAGAAUUCCCUUCAGAGCCAUACUUGGUUUCGUGUUAGCAGAGCUGGGAAUCCCAGAGGCCGAAUACCGUCGCGAGAUAUUCUACGGAAACAAGAUCUGCGUCACCGUGCUCUUCGACGCCUCUACGAUCAAAGGAGCCCCCACCCAUAUGUCGAUAUCCGGAACAUAUUCCACGGACGAUGAAGUGGCAGAGGACACAGCUGCUCUUAAAGCCAUUGAGUCCUUAGAAACCACAGCCAAUGUGGUGAUCAGGGACUACAGUUACGACAAACUGAAACGGCUGGAGGAAGAAUCUGAGCGCCUGAUGGAGCAGUUGGAAGAAGCAAAUUAUUGCAUAUCCAAGCUUGUUAGGGGCUGGCUGCUUGCUGUCAGAUGUGUCUGUUCAUUCUCUCAUAGUCUUAAGCUACUCCUGGGCAAAGUAUCAUGGAUGAGAUUAUGA